UGUGGAAGAUCCAUGUGUAGGUGGGUUUAUUUAGACGGCCUGUGCUGCAAUGUCUAUCGUGAAUUUGUGCUGAGUUAUCCAAUUUUUUCCCAAUAUGAUGUUGAUGCCUUCCAGUCCUAAAAUAAUAAGGUCGGUUUGGAAAACUUUUCUACCCAACUUGAGUGGAACACCACAAGUUAUUUGGUUGGAAGCAAUUUCACCACCAAGUGUUGAAAUCAUGUAAGACCCUUUGGUG
RNAcentral lists this long non-coding RNA (235 nucleotides) under Setaria viridis. Its description in RNAcentral is "long non-coding RNA (SVIR_LNC007549)". The record is from RNAcentral. Lineage: Eukaryota; Viridiplantae; Streptophyta; Magnoliopsida; Poales; Poaceae.